Molecule: ribosomal RNA, 302 nt
Filed under: uncultured bacterium
Lineage: Bacteria
Description: partial 16S ribosomal RNA
Rfam family: Bacterial small subunit ribosomal RNA
Source: RNAcentral
GCAGUAGCCGCGGUAAAACAGAGGGUGCGAGCGUUAAUCGGAUUUACUGGGCGUAAAGCGUGCGUAGGCGGCUUUUUAAGUCGGAUGUGAAAUCCCUGAGCUUAACUUAGGAAUUGCAUUCGAUACUGGGAAGCUAGAGUAUGGGAGAGGAUGGUAGAAUUCCAGGUGUAGCGGUGAAAUGCGUAGAGAUCUGGAGGAAUACCGAUGGCGAAGGCAGCCAUCUGGCCUAAUACUGACGCUGAGGUACGAAAGCAUGGGGAGCAAACAGGAUUAGAUACCCCGGUAGUCCCUGUCCUUAUACA